Molecule: long non-coding RNA, 579 nt
Organism: Dama dama (fallow deer)
Lineage: Eukaryota; Metazoa; Chordata; Mammalia; Artiodactyla; Cervidae
Exons: 2
Source: RefSeq, a predicted model, not a curated record
CCCCUUCAAGCCGGAAGCUGGGCUUCCGCCCGGGACUGAUGGGGCUCCUGCUCUCGUGGGCCAGGGAAGGCGGCUCCUGUCCGAGCCCCUCUCUGCAGGAGAGGUCCGUCUAGUCAAAGCUACGGUUUUUCCAGUAGUCAUGUAUGGAUGUGAGAGUUGGACUAUAAAGAAAACUGAACACUGAAGAAUUGAUGCUUUUGAAUUAUGGUAUUGGAGAAGACUCUUGACAGUAACUUGGACAGCAAGGCGAUCCAACCAGUCCAUCCUAAAGGAAAUCAGUCCUGAAUAGUCAUUGGAAGGACUGAUGCUGAAGUUGAAACUCCAAUACUUUGGCCACCUGAUGUGAAGAACUGACUCAUUUGAAAAGACCCUGAUGCUGGGAAAGAUUGAAGGCAAGAGGAGAAGGGGACAACAAAGGAUGAUAUGGUUGGAUGGCAUCACCAACUCAAUGGGAGUUGGUGAUGGACUGGGAAGUCUGGCAUGCUGCAGUCCAUGGGGUUGCAAAGAGUCGGACAUGACUGAGCAACUGAACUGAAUCUCAUCAAAAUAACGUAAUUUUAUAAAAUUGUAGGUACAUGC